This 468-nucleotide ribosomal RNA is filed under the name uncultured bacterium. RNAcentral's name for it is "partial 16S ribosomal RNA". It matches the Rfam family "Bacterial small subunit ribosomal RNA", at positions 28 to 507 of the family's 1533-position model. The record is from RNAcentral.
GACGAACGCUGGCGGCGUGCUUAACACAUGCAAGUCGAACGGAAAGGCCCUGCUUUUGUGGGGUGCUCGAGUGGCGAACGGGUGAGUAACACGUGAGUAACCUGCCCUUGACUUUGGGAUAACUUCAGGAAACUGGGGCUAAUACCGGAUAGGAGCUCCUGCUGCAUGGUGGGGGUUGGAAAGUUUCGGCGGUUGGGGAUGGACUCGCGGCUUAUCAGCUUGUUGGUGGGGUAGUGGCUUACCAAGGCUUUGACGGGUAGCCGGCCUGAGAGGGUGACCGGCCACAUUGGGACUGAGAUACGGACCAGACUCCUACGGGAGGCAGCAGUGGGGAAUAUUGCACAAUGGGCGGAAGCCUGAUGCAGCAACGCCGCGUGCGGGAUGACGGCCUUCUGGUUGUAAACCGCUUUCGCCUGUGACGAAGCGUGAGUGACGGUAAUGGGUAAAGAAGCACCGGCUAACUACGUG